AUACGGAGGAUGCAAGCGUUAUCCGGAUUUAUUGGGUUUAAAGGGUGCGUAGGCUGUUCGGAAAGUCAGGGGUGAAAGCCCGGCGCCUAACGCCGGAACUGCCUUUGAUACUUCCGAGCUGGAAUACGGAUGCCGUGGGAGGAAUGAGUAGUGUAGCGGUGAAAUGCAUAGAUAUUACUCAGAACACCGAUUGCGAAGGCAUCUCACGAAUCCGUCAUUGACGCUGAGGCACGAAAGCGUGGGGAUCAAACAGGAUUAGAUACCCUGGUAGUCCACGCAGUAAACGAUGAUGACUAACCGUCGGCGAUACACAGUCGGUGGCCAAGCGAAAGCGAUAAGUCAUCCACCUGGGGAGUACGUUCGCAAGAAUGAAACUCAAAUGAAUUGACGGGG
Molecule: ribosomal RNA, 393 nt
Filed under: uncultured bacterium
Lineage: Bacteria
Description: partial 16S ribosomal RNA
Rfam family: Bacterial small subunit ribosomal RNA
Source: RNAcentral